This 379-nucleotide ribosomal RNA is filed under the name uncultured bacterium. Its description in RNAcentral is "bacterial SSU rRNA". It matches the Rfam family "Bacterial small subunit ribosomal RNA", at positions 521 to 896 of the family's 1533-position model. The record is from RNAcentral.
UAAGACGGAGGGGGCAAGCGUUGUCCGGACUCACUGGGCGUAAAGGGUGCGUAGGCGGUUGUGUGCGUCGGCGCUGAAAUCCAUGGGCUCAACCCAUGGGCGCGUGCCGAUACGAUGCGACUGGAGGCUCGGAGAGGGUGGGAGAACUCCUGGUGUAGUGGUGAAAUGCGUAGAGAUCAGGAAGAAUACCCGUGGCGCAAGCGCCCACCUGGCCGAGACCUGACGCUGAGGCACGAAAGCGUGGGGAGCGAACCGGAUUAGAUACCCGGGUAGUCCACGCCGUAAACGAUGUCGACUCGGGGUGUGUGUCCCGUUAAGGGACGUGCGCCCCCAAGCGUACGCGGAAGUCGACCGCCUGGGAACUACGAGCGCAAGCUUA